This is a non-coding RNA of Caenorhabditis elegans, 21 nucleotides long. NCBI's taxonomy places the organism in Eukaryota, Metazoa, Nematoda, Chromadorea, Rhabditida, Rhabditidae. The record is from Ensembl.
UUGAAAUGAAUAAAUACAGGG